Molecule: non-coding RNA, 254 nt
Filed under: uncultured bacterium
Lineage: Bacteria
Also listed under: 1 other name
Description: partial 16S ribosomal RNA
Rfam family: Bacterial small subunit ribosomal RNA
Source: RNAcentral
UACGGGGGAUGCAAGCGUUAUCCGGAUUUAUUGGGUUUAAAGGGUGCGUAGGCUGUGAGGUAAGUCAGCGGUGAAAUGCCCCCGCUCAACGGGGUGAAGUGCCAUUGAUACUGCCUUGCUGGAAUGCGGAUGCCGUGGGAGGAAUGUGUGGUGUAGCGGUGAAAUGCAUAGAUAUCACACAGAACACCGAUUGCGAAGGCAUCUCACGAAUCCGCGAUUGACGCUGAUGCACGAAAGCGUGGGUAUCAAACAGG